UUCAGUAUUAAUGCGGGCUAUGAUGGGAUGAUAGAAUCCUUGUGGUCACUAGAUUAUACUUGCUUGUAUUAUUUUUGCUGGGUAGGUCGGCGUGCACUUCUUUUCUAGUAGAACGUCGCAACCCGUUGGAUGUUUAUUUAUGGCCUAAAUGGUAGCCUCUGAUAUUUUAAAAUAUCGAAGACCUUUGGUGUCCUGAUAAGCUGUCUGACGGUAAACAUAUAGUAUUGAGCCGCAAUUAUUUGCGUUAGACUUACCGCAAGUAAGAUUUUAGUCUAGUAGUGCAGAUCUAAUGCUGUCGCUGGGCAAAGUCUACUGUUAGCUGUGUAAUGUC
This 331-nucleotide ribosomal RNA is filed under the name Diolcogaster sp. HD-381. Its description in RNAcentral is "partial 28S ribosomal RNA". Lineage: Eukaryota; Metazoa; Arthropoda; Insecta; Hymenoptera; Braconidae. The record is from RNAcentral.